AAAUUUAAUUCUUCAAGUAAAUCCUAUGCAACUUAGAUGGAAGGUGGAGAAAGCCACCACUCGACAAGCUCGAGCUAUCGUUGAGAUACUACGAUAAAAUAGUUUGAGUCUAACAUUGUGUCAAGGGACAAUCAAGAUGGUUUCUAUAAGGCAUAGCCUCCUUAGAGGUAAUGGAAACGUGCAAAAGUUUCCUCGCGCUAGACGAAAAUUGACCAUCGAGUGCAAAAGUAAAGAGAAGCUUGAUUGCAAGACUCACCUAUCAAGCAGGGACAAAAGUCGGCCUUAACGAUUUUACAAUACAGAACAAAAUGUUCAUCGCUCAACGGAUAAAAGUUACU
RNAcentral lists this ribosomal RNA (338 nucleotides) under Olea europaea subsp. europaea. RNAcentral describes it as "Bacterial large subunit ribosomal RNA". It matches the Rfam family "Bacterial large subunit ribosomal RNA", at positions 2106 to 2467 of the family's 2925-position model. Lineage: Eukaryota; Viridiplantae; Streptophyta; Magnoliopsida; Lamiales; Oleaceae. The record is from Rfam by way of RNAcentral.